RNAcentral lists this ribosomal RNA (253 nucleotides) under uncultured bacterium. RNAcentral's name for it is "partial 16S ribosomal RNA". It matches the Rfam family "Bacterial small subunit ribosomal RNA", at positions 524 to 776 of the family's 1533-position model. The record is from RNAcentral.
UACGAAGGGUGCAAACGUUGCUCGGAAUUAUUGGGCGUAAAGGGUAGGUAGGUGGUUUCGUUUGUCUGGGGUGAAAGCCUUGAGCUUAACUCAAGAAGUGCCCCGGAAACGGCGAAACUCGAGUACUGGAGAGGGUCGUGGAAUUCCCGGUGUAGCGGUGAAAUGCGUAGAGAUCGGGAGGAACACCAGAGGCGAAGGCGGCGACCUGGACAGUUACUGACACUCAACUACGAAAGCUAGGGGAGCAAACAGG